CAGCCCGCGAACGAAGAUGAAGAAGGCCUUCGUCUUGUAAAGCACUUUCAGCGAGGAAGAACGCCUAGUGGUUAAUACCCAUUAGGAAAGACAUCACUCGCAGAAGAAGCACCGGCUAACUCCGUGCCAGCAGCCGCGGUAAUACGGAGGGUGCGAGCGUUAAUCGGAAUUACUGGGCGUAAAGCGCGCGUAGGUGGCUUGAUAAGCCGGUUGUGAAAGCCCCGGGCUCAACCUGGGAACGGCAUCCGGAACUGUCAAGCUAGAGUGCAGGAGAGGAAGGUAGAAUUCCCGGUGUAGCGGUGAAAUGCGUAGAGAUCGGGAGGAAUACCAGUGGCGAAGGCGGCCUUCUGGACUGACACUGACACUGAGGUGCGAAAGCGUGGGUAGCAAACAGGAUUAGAUACCCUGGUAGUCCACGCCGUAAACGAUGUCGACCAGCCGUUGGGUGCCUAGCGCACUUUGUGGCGAAGUUAACGCGAUAAGUCGACCGCC
Molecule: ribosomal RNA, 492 nt
Filed under: gamma proteobacterium I-04
Lineage: Bacteria; Pseudomonadati; Pseudomonadota; Gammaproteobacteria
Description: bacterial SSU rRNA
Rfam family: Bacterial small subunit ribosomal RNA
Source: RNAcentral